GGAGUAGUGCGACAGUGGUUACUCGGUCCGACUCGAAUGUCUUAGAACGUGCUUAUCGGAUGCCGUAAGGCACGCAGGUUCGAAUCCUGCCUGCUCCU
This is a transfer RNA of Cryptococcus amylolentus CBS 6039, 98 nucleotides long. It matches the Rfam family "tRNA". Rfam says of the family: Transfer RNA (tRNA) molecules are approximately 80 nucleotides in length. Their secondary structure includes four short double-helical elements and three loops (D, anti-codon, and T loops). Further hydrogen bonds mediate the characteristic L-shaped molecular structure. tRNAs have two regions of fundamental functional importance: the anti-codon, which is responsible for specific mRNA codon recognition, and the 3' end, to which the tRNAs corresponding amino acid is attached (by aminoacyl-tRNA synthetases). tRNAs cope with the degeneracy of the genetic code in two manners: having more than one tRNA (with a specific anti-codon) for a particular amino acid; and 'wobble' base-pairing, i.e. permitting non-standard base-pairing at the 3rd anti-codon position. The record is from Rfam. NCBI's taxonomy places the organism in Eukaryota, Fungi, Basidiomycota, Tremellomycetes, Tremellales, Cryptococcaceae.